RNAcentral lists this ribosomal RNA (723 nucleotides) under Psychrobacter pulmonis. Its description in RNAcentral is "bacterial SSU rRNA". It matches the Rfam family "Bacterial small subunit ribosomal RNA", at positions 53 to 766 of the family's 1533-position model. Lineage: Bacteria; Pseudomonadati; Pseudomonadota; Gammaproteobacteria; Moraxellales; Moraxellaceae. The record is from RNAcentral.
ACUGCAAGUCGAAGCGGGAAACGAGGGGAGCUUGCUCCCUUGCGUCAAGCGGCGGACGGGGUGAGUAUUACUUAUGAAGUCUACCUAUUAGUGGGGGAUAUCUCGGGGAAACUCGAAUUAAUACCGCAUACAACCUACGGGAAAAAGGGGGCAACUUGUUGCUCUCGCUAUUAAAUGAACCUAACUCGGAUUAACUAGAUGGUGGGGUAAAGGCCUACCAUGGCGACCAUCUGUACCUGGUCUGAGAGGAAGAACAACCACACCGGGACUGACACACAGCCCGGACUCCUACGGGAGGCAGCAGUGGGGAAUAUUGAACAAUGGGGGCAACCCUGAUCCAGCCAUGCCGCGUGUGUGAAGAAGGCCUUUUGGUUGUAAAGCACUUUAAUCAGUGAAGAAGACUCCAUGGUUAAUACCCAUGUACGAUGACUUUAGCUGCAGAAUAAGCACCGGCUAACUCUGUGCCAGCAGCCGCGGUAAUACAUAGGGUGCGAGCGUUAAUCGGAAUUACUGGGCGUAAAGCGAGCGUAGGUGGCUUGAUAGCUCAUAUGUUAAAGCCCCGCGCUUAACCUGGGAACGGCAUCUGAUACUGUUAGGCUACAGUAGGUUAGAGGAAGGUAGAAUUCCUCGUGGGGCGGUGAAAUGCAUAGAAAUCUGGAGGAGUACCGAUCGCGAAGGCAGCCUUCUCUCUUCAGACUCACACUGAUGUUCGAACACGUGGGU